UGUAAAGCAUAGAAGAGAGUGUGGACAGAGACACUGACCUACUGUGGAAAGUUAUGGACUAAUUUUUUGAGUGACGCACUACAAACCGACCAGAAAGGGAGGAAAAGCGGCAGCCCUCUCAAGCAGGGCGUCUUCCGCCCUGUAAACUUGGCAAAAAGCACACUGGACUGAAAUACAGCACUCUCCAUAUAAGGCAGCCCAACUAAACAUGUCAUGCGUAAUUUAUGGGUGGCAGGCAGAGCAUUAACCUCUGCGUGCACAUACUUGGCCCACAUGAAGCCGGUGCUGGAUGGCAGCCCCGGCAGAGGGAUGCGGGCGCUGCCGGGACCCGCGCGACCCGUGGCCGUCCCCAUCGACCCUGGCAGAGGUCACCGAGUUCACAGCACUCGGUCACGCACCUGCCCCAGCUCCCGGGCCACCGGUCCUGCCCCGCGGCGCCCUGCGGGGGCCCGCAGAGAGGCGCGGAGCAGGGCCGGGAGCCUCAGCGCGCGGCCACGGUACGGGCCGAGGACCCCCGAGCGCCACCGGAGGCCGCCGCAGCGCCGCCCGCAGCGCAGAACAAUGCGCGGCCG
This 572-nucleotide long non-coding RNA is filed under the name Rattus norvegicus (Norway rat). Its description in RNAcentral is "long non-coding RNA NONRATT016426". The record is from RNAcentral. Lineage: Eukaryota; Metazoa; Chordata; Mammalia; Rodentia; Muridae.